AUGCGCGAGAACGCCAGGAUCCGAAACGCUUCGCCGGGUGCGCAGCGCAAGGAAACCGAAGAGCUAGAAAAUGACGUAAGGCAAAGGGAAGUUAGGGAGUUUCUACUUACGAGGUAGAGUUUACAACAGUUUUAGCACUUGAGUGCAGUCGGAGGGUAUUUUUGACGCAUGGGGGCUCUCUAAGUGGAUGAAGUGGGGAACCACAGAGCAACCAGGCCUGCACAAACCUGAAGCAAAUAAGCAGUGCCUCUCCUGAGCGUGUACGUAUGGACCUAUUGCACACUGGGCGACAUGUCCAUUUUUUUUUCUUCACACAAAGCCGUCGAGUUUCUGUAACAUUAAAGUGUUGAAUCAUAAAACUGCUGGGGACCCAUCUGGGCUCAAGCAUGGCAGUUUUUAACCUCUCCUCCAUUACUGAGCAGUGCCUGUGUUCCCCUAGCAUUCCAAUACGAGCACCAAAAUGGAGUUCUUCCUUACGACUAAUGUGACCUCUGCCUUGCAAGCAGUGGGGAUUGCACUUGGACUCUACCCUUUGAAGAACCAGCUCAGUAAAACACGAUUUCCAUAUGGAUCUAUGCUUACUCAGAGAAUUACCCAAAGAAGGCUAUGGGUCUGGUAAACCAGUGUAAAUCAUAAUAUCACAAAAUGGUUUAGGUUGGAAGGAACCUUUAAGAUCACCUAGUUCCAACCUCACUGCUGUAGGUAGGGACACUGCCCUCUAGACCAGGUUACUUAAAGCAUCUCCCAGCCUAGCCUUGAAUACUUGUUGGGAGGGGGCGUUCCCAACUUCUCAGCGGCAACCUCUCAACACUGUUCCAGUGUCUCACUACUGUCAAAAUAAUUUCUUUCUAAUAGUUUACAUCUAACCUCUUCCAGUUCAAAACCAUUUCCCUUCAUCCUGUUGCUACACGCCUUUCUAAAAAGUCCCUCCCCAGCUUUCCUGUAGGCCUCCUUCAGGUACUGGAAGGCCACUAUAAGGUCUCCUCAGAGCCUUCUCUUCUCCAGGCUGAAAUGCCCCAGCUCUCUCAGCUUGUCCUCACAGGGGAGAUGCUCCAGUCCUCUGAUCAUCUUUGUGGCUCUCCUCUGGAUGCACUCUCACCGCAGCUCGAUAUCCUUUUUGUGUUGGGGGCUCCAGAACUGGACACAGUACUCCAGGUGGGGUCUCGUAAGAGCAGAGGGGCAGAAUCACCUCCCUUGACCUGCUGGUCACAGUUCUCUUGAUGCAACCCAGGAUACCAUCGGUGUUCUAUAGUAUAGUUUCAGACAAUUUGAGUGGUCUUAUGUAGUUAAAAAUCAACAGCUUCACAUGCAAACUUGAAUUACAUUCUCAUCACUUUGAUGCCAUAAUAAAAGACAAAACUGUCCUAUGCCAUUCUUUAUAUCCAAGAGGAUGACACCACAUUUGACUUUGGCUCAUAAACCCACUUCUCAUCCUAAUAGAAUAAUUUUAGAGCUCUUUUCCCACUGGGCAAGGCAGCAAUUCCCUCUUAGGUCACACAUCUAAGACCUUUCAGCUGUAAAUAAUUUUUCAGAAUUGUCUAUAUACUGUUCAUUAGUUUAUGACUAUUACACAAAAAAUAGAUAGUUUAGAUAAUGGAAAAAAAAGAAAAACGAGAAUAUUUUUAGACAUAUUUUGGUUAAAUAUUCCAGUUACCCUCGUAUAAAUGACUUCGCUAUGUCAGAAUCACCAGUCUUUGAACGACAUUAAGUUUAAGCUCUGAACCUCAUUCUACAAGAAGCAAACAGAGCUUUGUUGUCUUCACUAAUUAUAAGAGUCACUUUGAUCAUUACUUUCUUGGACUAAAAUUGCUUGAGUAGAACUCAGCCAGAGCAACAGUGGUAGACACUGUCCGUCUUCUUACCAAGGUGUUAGAGAUUUCAACUUUUAUCAACAACUCCAAACAUAAGCUUUCAAUUCAGCUGUGAGAUCUUCAAAUGCUAAAGAAGUACUGAUGUUUCAAUUUCUGUAACGCCUCUCAGGAGUGUUUUUUAGCAGAAACUAAAGCACUAAGUACGUUUCUUUCUCUAAAAAUGAACUCAAAUUUUAUAUAAAGUUUAACUUGUGCAUUUUCACAUACAUUUAUGAAAUGUUUUAUUAUAUACCACAGAAUUGGAGAACAUCCUGAGCUGAAAGGGAACCACAAGGAUCAUCAAGUCCAACUCCUGGGUCCACACAGUAGUUAUGUCUUUGGCACAGAACUAACAAUUACAAUACUCUAAAUAUGAGGCAGAACUAAUAAUUCCACAGAAGUGGCCCUAACUGCCACAAGGCAUUUGCAGUGUAAAAUUUACAAAACCUCUGGUAGUGCAAAAUGAAAUCCUGAAGAACCUGGAUUAGUUAUUCAUAUUUAUGGAAGCAGAAGAAAAAAGAAAAUGAGAAAAUUAUAAAAGUAAUGCAAAAUGUUCAAUUCACAUUUCAGUUUUUCUAUAUGUUAUGAAAUCCAGUCUUUUGUCCUUUCAUAGAUAAAUUUUCAAGUGAUAAUCUGACAGACUAAAGAUAUACAGCUGCAUGAUGCAACUGGCUUCCAAACGUUCGCAACCUAGCAUCAGUCACAUCCUCUGAAAUUGGGGCGCCACUGUUAAGUGACAUCAAAGGUCAUUUACCAAAUGCUAUAAGGGAACUAGCAACAAAAAACAAGCGAUGCUGAUUUUAAAAGGCACCAAAUGCUUUCCUUACAUACAAACAUUAUUUAGAAGUUCUUUGCAAAGAUUAUUUUCUCAGUGGCAAAGAACAAGAUCAUAAAAUACACCUAAAACACCAGCUGGUCAGUUCUUUGUGGGAACUUGCUGGUUAUUAUAAAGUAUUAUCUGUAAGACCUCUAGGGAAGACACAGUUUCUUAGGAGUGGAUGUGCUGCCUUUUUUUGUUUGUUUGUUCUCUUAUUGGACUUGUUUAACCCACAGCUUCCACAACCAGAAAUCACUGCUGAACUCUCAAAUUGAUCACAUCUGAUUGAGGGGAAGAAGUCUUCAAGAUGUGAAGGAUCCAGCUUCCAUAAUUUCAGCUAAUUAGAACGUGGUAGGGACUUUCCAUAACGUUUCCAUCCGGGGGAGCUGAAAGGCUGCUUGCUCAUUUUCACAUAGAAUGAUAGUCUGCCGAAAGCACCCAGAACGGAACCCCCGCAGCCCCGCUGCUCUGCACCAGUUCCGCAAGGAGCGGAGCCUCGGCUUUCUCAGGCUGAUGGCAGCUGACGGCAGGAAAUUUGCAUACCCGCUCGGGAUUGGCUGCGGAGGAGUCGCUUUGCAUCAACCAAUCUGUAAGCGCGCAGCUGAGUCACCACCAGGAGGCCUGUGCAAAUCCGCCCGGCAACCGGCUGAAAAUAGAGCCGGAACCAAGGUACGUCACCAAGACUGGGUGUGACGCGAUGCCUCUUCGCCUGUGACGUCGUAUACGUGUAAACACAACGUGCCAGACGCCUCGUUUCACAGUCGUUACACUGCGAUGCUACUGUCACAGAGAGACAAAUGCAUGACUCUACUGCAAGCGCAAGAAAUAAGGGAGACACGGUCUUCAAAUCAUAUGCCCAAAACAGAGACAUUAGGUGCAGUGGAUGUAUCUGAAUCUUCACUAAAUGUGGACUCUUCCCCCUGAAGUUAGACCUUUGUUGGACCCCUGUGCUAUCCCUUGGUGUGUCACACAUCAUAGUACUGGACUUGGAAAGGCGAGAAGGCUGAACCAAGAAAUGAAAUUAUAAACAGGUUUCUACUUCAUGGAACUGGUUGCUGGCAGGUCAAACACAACACAUUGAAAGGAUUAGAACAGCAUGCAGUGUGAACAUAGCUGCCUCAUCAUGGUCUUCUGCAGCCUGAAAGGCACCACCUGACCAUAUCUGGUCAGAUAUACCAUGGUACAUAAAACCAUGUGUAUUUUUUACAAGGUUGUAGUAAAUAAGGGGACACGGAAGAAAGGUAGCCAAUGCAGACAGUCACACUGACCAGUGACACCAGCUGACAGCUUUUGAAUGAUUCAAUGGAAUAGAAUUAUAAAAUUAAUGAGAAGUCAAAAGAAGAAAAGAAAUAGAAGAAAUCUUCAAAUUAUGAGAAGAAAGAAAAGAGGAAAAAAUUCAUCACUUUUCUUCUAAAAGUGACAAGUUACAAAACCUUUAUUAUCCUUAUCAUCUGUUAGAGCUAUCUAUCACAAGCAUCCUGCUUUAAGGAAAGGUUGCUCACUCAGUAGAUGUUAGCUGGCCACUGCUGAUCUUUAUUGGCAGUCAUGACCACAAGACAGUUAUUCAUUGAUCAACAUGGAGUGAAAAACAAGCUGCCAGCCUAAUAAUCUUUCACUACUAGAUUCAAGAAAAAAAAAAAAAAAAAUGUGUUUUCAGUGCUGGUAACCCAGUGUAUUAAUAUGCUAAGAACACCAGGCAAUGCAGGUAAUGGAAGGUUUUGUAAUAAGCAGUCUCAAAAGUUUCUAUGACAAUUUCUUGUUAUAAUAAAGCAUGCAAUCAAGUAAGAUUUAUUUUAUAGUAAAAGUGUACAGUACUUCAUUAAAUUCUCCUGUGUCAAUGGGCAGACAAUUAUUUUUCUGUAUUUGCUGCUAGGCAGGGAUUUGUCACAUGUCUGAAACGGUAAGGGUUUGGAAGAAAAACUACCCAAGAUAUUACACAAAGUGCACUUUAAAUGUUUUGUAAUCAAACAUGUAAGCAAUCAUAGCAUUGAUGAUUCUUCAACUUAACUCAGAACAAGCUGGGCAGACACAAGCUUUUUGACUUAAUUUUUUGCUAAAAUGAACGAAGAACAGGAGGCAGAAAGUGGACAAACACAAUGUGGUUUCUUUAUGUAAUUCCAGUAAUGGAAACGAGGUCAAGCACAAUAGAACUACCUUCAAAAGGAUUUUUAAUAGUAAAAAAUAUCCUGAAACAGUAGUGAUUCUAGCUGCAUCCUUCCUUUCUAGAGCUUUCAACCAUUCCCCUUCUUUUCUCACCACACUUCCUACACAGUCAGCCUUACAAUCUCAUUAUAUACAAUUUGCUAGAGUUCUUUCAAGACCAAAGAGUAUCUUACACUUCAUUCUUAAUGUAUAAAAUAAUCUGUUCUCAUAGUACUAUCUGCUUGAGACAGCUGAAACUCAGUGUGAGUACAUAUAAGGUUGGACCUAAGGUUGGCACAAUUGUAUGCAUCUGCAUGGGCAGCACUUUAAGAUUUCUGAGGUGAUGACUUUGCAUGUAAUGCCAGUAUACUCAUAUCCACUCGCUUAUAUACUCUGAGAAACACAGACACCUGAUCAAAAGCAGAGGAGGAUGAGACGAUUUUCAUGGAAAGUUAUCACUUGCAGUUGGGUGAAAAUAAUUUUGGAUUUGGUUCUUUAAAAUAUACAUGUAUUUAUUCUUCCUACCCAUGUUAUUGACAACAAAAUUAUAUCCACCCCACAUAAACUGUGCAGAAACUACAUUACACAAUAUUCUAUUGUGUAUGAAGAAUGAAAAGAAACAAGAAUAUGAUGCAAGUACUUAUGAGGUAGCAUAUGAACUCAGAUUAGGGAUUUCAGACACAUUAAAACCUUUUUGAUGCUAUUUUAACCCAGUGAAUACAAAGCAACCCAGCAAGAAGAAGUCUUCUUAGCCCAGAUCAAUUGGCUGAUGCUAUAACCAUGAGGCUACUCUUAAUACUUAAGCCAGAACAAGACAGUGGGCAGAAGGAGGAACAGAGAACUGAUUUAAGCUGACCUUGUCACAUACAAGCCUUUGAACACAAUUUAUAUUAUCUGUACAAAUAGCACCAAGCUAGGUCAGGAAGCUUAACAUCCAGAUAUACAUUUAGGAGGAUUGAUACUUCACUGGCUUCUUGAAGUGGCUAACAAAACAAUCACAGGAACACCAGAGCUGCCAAACUGGAAUAUGCAGCAGAACAGCCUUGCGUUUUCUGGGUGUAAAUGUGUGAGUCAAGGAUUACUGUGAUGGACAGGGAAAACUUCCUGAUUUUUUCUCAGUUUCCUGAGAAAGAGCACUACAGCUGUCCCAUUAAGUCAGCUUCAUCUGAUUACUUGUGCUUUCUAGGGCCACUGCAUGGAGGUUGUUCCCACAAAGAAAUAUAUUUGAUAAGUUCACAUAGAUGUUGUCUUAUUUAUUUUAAAAUGUUUAUAACUAUGUCUCUGAUGUAAAAGCAUUGUAUACAAUACUAACUACACUUGUAAUAUAUAGUUAUUUUUUGAAAGCUUCAAAGAUGAAGUAGUGUAAAUACACAGAUUAAAGAUGUAACUUCUGGUUUGGACUGUGCCAAAUUUUACAGUAAGAGGUGGGCCCUGAAACACAUAACAGCUUUUACAUGUAUUAUUAAAAAAAGAGAUAAUAUUUGCCUCUGCUCUAUUCACAAAACCAAGCUUCUAAUGUGAAAUUCUACCUAAGUAUUUCCAGAUUUACAUAUUCAGUUACAAAGAUCAGAUGUUGAUUAUACUCCAUAUUAUGAAUUCAGUACUGUGAUUAUUAUUACAUAAAAUUGGAAACCUGUACUAUCUCAUCCCUUUAAAAAUAUUUCAGUGAACAGCCUCCACUAAGCAUAAACAUUUUAUGCUCUAUCAUUUUAUUCUCUAUUAAAACAAAACAAAACAAAAAAACCCAUGAUUUUUGGUAGCUCAUAUAAAUAUACACACAACACUAAGCUCUGUGCCAGCAGAACUACUAGUAGUCAAGUAUGUAUUUACUAAACAAAUUACUCUGAUGCUUUAGUUUGGGUGACACGCUUAAUCCCAUAACAUUAUUUUUCAGUGGAAAUUCUUUACUCACUGAUCUGCUUGGAUGAUCCAUUAAAAUUUAAGGAAUUGGUGUAUAUUUUAAACAUACAAGGAAAAAAGAAUUAAGGAGUAUACUUAUAGCUACGGCUGGUUUGAAUGGCUUUACUUAAGUUAUCCCAAACAAACACUAAGUGUCAUCAUCACAAUGUUGAGUAUUGCAUCAGUAAAAAAAGUCAGAGUGCUGAGAGACAUCUAUGUCUGGUGUUCCAGAGUAUCCUUAAGAUAAUGUAAGUAAGAAGUUUGAAAAGGUUUGGCUGAAAACUAAUUACAUCUUAAAUAAAUAUUAAUCUUCAAAAUGAUAUUAUCUGCAUUUGAGAAUCAUGAAAAUAGUAAUUUAUUACUAUGUGCCAGGGAAGGUUCAGGCUGGACAUUAGGAAAUACCACUACUCUGAAAGGGUGGUCAGGCACUGGAAUGGGCUGCCCAGAGAGGUGGUGGAGUCACCGACCCUGGAGGUGUUCAAGGAACAUUUGGUUGUUGUGUUGAGGGACGUGGUUUAGUGAGAACCAUUGGUGAUGGGCGAAUGGUUGGACUGGAUGAUCCUGUGGGUCUUUUCCAAUCUUAGGGAUUCUAUGAUUAUGACAAGAAUCAACAGGUAGAAGUAACCUCUUACAGAGUCUGUUUAUUCCAAAACUUGAUAGUAGUAGUAUAAAUGCAGAGAAUAAAAUUACUUCUGGCAUUUAUAAUUUCUGAAAUAACUGGGGAGAAAAAAAAAAAACAAAAAAAAAACAGGAAAAAACAACCAAGGUCAAGGCAACUCCCAUUACCAAUAUAGAGCAUGAAAGGAUUGAGAGCAGCCCUGCCAAAAAAAAACCUGGGGUUACUGUGGAUGGAGAGCUGGAUAUGAGCCAGCCAUAUACCUUUGCCACCCAGAAAACCAACUGUAUCCUGGGCUGCAUCAAAAGAUGCGUGACCAGCAGGUCAAGGGAUGUGAUCCUGCCCCCCACCUCUGUGCUGGUGAGGCCUCAACAGGAAUACUGAGUCCAGAUGUGGAGUCCUCAGUACAGGACCUGUUGAAGCGCAUCCAGAGAAGGUCCACAAAAAUGGAAUGGAACACCUCUCCUACGAGGACAGGCUGAGAGAGCUGGGUUCUUCAACCUAGAGAAGAUAAGGCUGCAAGGUGACCUGAUAGUGGCCUUUCAGUAUCUACAGGAAAAAAGGGGACAGACUCUUGAGCAGGGUCUGUGGUGACAGAACAAGGGGAAACGGCUUCAAGUUCAGGGAAAAUACAUUAAGGUUAGAUAUACGGAAAAUAUCUUUUACAGUGAGGGUGGUAAGGCACUGGAACAGAUCACCUAGUGUUGAGGUUGAUGCCCCAUCCCUGGAGACUUUCAAGGCGAGGCUGGUUAAGGCCCUGGGCAACCUGAUAUAGCUGUCCUGUCCCUGUUCAUUGCAGGGGAGUUAGACUAGAUGGCCUUCAGAAGUCCCUUCCAACUCUAAGGAUUCUAUGAUUCUUGAACAAGCUAACCUAAGUGCACUGGCAAAGAAUGCACUUGGCUACACUCCUGUGCCAUUUGUUGAUUUGUAAAUAUUUGUGAGAUUGUAGCUACAUAUAAUAGAAGACUAGUGAUGAACAAAAUCUUUCCAGAAUAUUUUAACAUCUGUUGGAGUUUUAACUUCUGCAGGAGAUGUGUCCCAACCGUUUGGACCUUUUUUUUGAGCCUAGAUCCUAGACUACCCUACAAUGAUGAACGAUUCCUAAUUAUUCUACAUGGCAAUCGGUAAUAUUAACAAGUCAAAUCAGUUUGUUUAUAUUUGCAACUCUUUCAGAAGGAUCAAGCUAACUUGCAAUUGAAAGGAAAACUGACACCCCACCAAACUACACUACAUACAUAAAAUUCAGAAAGAUCAAUAACGUGAUCAUCACUACAUUUCUAAACAAGUUUCUCAUAGAGUAAAACCUGUAGUAGAAAGUACCAGAAGAACUGAUAUCCAUUUUUUCCCAUUAUAUGCCCAGAUAGCUAAACUGAGUCUUUUAUCCUUCAAACAAAAUUUGUAUUUAGCAGAAUGGAAAGAAAUCUGGGCAAGUGUGACCAACACUCCGAUUGAAUUUUCACUACUUGCAUCAUCUUCUCUGGGACAAGUCAGUGCUAAGUAGUUCCAAAGAGGAGCAGUAUGAAGAUGACUGUGGUGACUCUGAAAGACGCAAUGCAAUCAUGACCACUUCCAUUCUUUGGUACCAGACACAGUAAGUAAAUAAAUAAAUAAACUGACAAACAAACAAACAACUAAAUAAAUGGCACAGUUAAAGCGCUUUACUUCUGUUGAUACCAUUGCAGGCUAGUUUUAAAAAGUCUCUAUAAGCAAGAAAAAAACCAAGAUGACAACAGAAAAAACAUGCAUACACAGAAGAUCAACAAGCUUUUUCUAUACAUUUUCACAUGAAAAGAAAUAACAAUAACAAAGCAGUGAAUAUAAGAGAUUCUUCCAGUUUUGUGUAAGUUUGUCUUAAGUAAGGAAGCAGUAGUUGCAGAAUUGAGAAGAUACUUGUCAAGCUAAAUGGUUUUCUCUCAAUAAGCUAAGCUAUGUAAAAAAAACCAAAGGAU
Gallus gallus (chicken) is the source of this 9273-nucleotide long non-coding RNA. RefSeq lists it as uncharacterized. Lineage: Eukaryota; Metazoa; Chordata; Aves; Galliformes; Phasianidae. The transcript has 3 exons. The record is from RefSeq and is a predicted model, not a curated record.